Molecule: ribosomal RNA, 510 nt
Filed under: uncultured bacterium
Lineage: Bacteria
Description: partial 16S ribosomal RNA
Rfam family: Bacterial small subunit ribosomal RNA
Source: RNAcentral
GACGAACGCUGGCGGCGUGCUUAACACAUGCAAGUCGAACGAAGAGCGAUGGAAGCUUGCUUCUAUCAAUCUUAGUGGCGAACGGGUGAGUAACGCGUAAUCAACCUGCCCUUCAGAGGGGGACAACAGUUGGAAACGACUGCUAAUACCGCAUACGAUCUGACCUCGGCAUCGAGGAUAGAUGAAAGGUGACCUCUACAUGUAAGCUAUCACUGAAGGAGGGGAUUGCGUCUGAUUAGCUAGUUGGAGGGGUAACGGCCCACCAAGGCGAUGAUCAGUAGCCGGUCUGAGAGGAUGAACGGCCACAUUGGGACUGAGACACGGCCCAGACUCCUACGGGAGGCAGCAGUGGGGAAUCUUCCGCAAUGGACGAAAGUCUGACGGAGCAACGCCGCGUGAGUGAUGACGGCCUUCGGGUUGUAAAGCUCUGUUAAUCGGGACGAAAGGCCUUUUUGCGAAUAGUGAGAAGGAUUGACGGUACCGGAAUAGAAAGCCACGGCUAACUACGUG